UCAAUUUAUUAGCAAUCCUGGUCGAAUAUGAGUACCAGUGGGUUGCUCAAAUGAUUUGCAGAAAUGGUAGGGUCACAAGUUUUUCAAGAAGACCCAUUGGUGGAGUAGACUGCCAACUUUGUACACCACGUCAUGUCUAUUUGUGGUGAUCGUGUUGUUAUUUUAUGUUCAGGUGAGAAGUAUGGGUGCUCUAAAGAAUAACUAUAAACUUUUGUUAGAUUUGUUAAUUUUUGGUUUGCUGGAAAUAUUCUCCCACCAUCUCUAAUUGAUAAAAAUCCUUAUUAUUGUUCCACCAUUUCUAAUUGUUAAACUCCUUUGUUGGAAGCCCACAAACUCUGCACUUUUGUCGGUUAAACACCAUUUGACAAGCAAAAGAGGUACAACUAUAACAGCCAACUAAGAAUUGAGAAGAGAAUGUGAAUCCAUAGGCUCGGAGAGGGGUGGGGGUUUUCGGACUUUACUAUGGCAGGUUGUCUUAAUGCCAGUAGCCAAUCUAUCCAUUACAGUAUGAGCAAGAUUAAGGUCCUUAGGUCCUGUGGAAGUACCUCUUCCAUCAAUCAACAGAGGGAAGAUUGAUGACUCUGAACGGCUUCGCUCCAUGAAGUUAAAUCAGCAAGGAAAAUCGAGGCUCUAUAUGUUGGAAGUAAUUUGGUAUCUAGCAACAACUUUCUGUUUUCCUAUUUCUUUCUUUUUCAUGGUUGACAACUUGAAAUUAUCCUCGCAAAGCUUAACUUCGCCAUACAAAUUAUAUGCUUCUAAAUUCGUCUACUUCUUCAUUUUACCAUAAGAAUUCCUAUUAAAUCAUAUUUAUUUGAUAUGUGGACCUAUUCAAGGGAUUAUAAUUUGUAGAUUUGGUUUCUGACCGUCGUAGCAUGGAGCUGACAUCAAGCUCUAACGAUAAUUAUAACAAUGAGGUAGUAAACUAAAUUUAUGAUGGGUGGGCGGCAUGUCCACAUCUGUAUGGUACGGGUUAAGCUCUUACACACAUGUUUCUUAAUUAGGUAACAGUCGGGUGCGUCUCCAGUCCACAAAAACAUUGUGAUCUUGAAAAGUAGGGUUCCAACUUCUUUUUCUUAACAAUUGACUUACCUGAAGAGUAAAAUUUCUUCUGGCAUGGCCUAUGGUCAGCGUAUCUGUUUGUAAAUGUUGUACAAAACCCUCUUAGAUAACUUGGAUGAUUGUGUAAACAAAAGAUCACCGAGUAUUUCAGAAUUUGAUUUACUAAAAACACCACGUUUCGAACAAAAGAUCACUGAAAAUUUGAGAAAUUGAUUUACUGAAAAAUACUACCAUUUAUGAAGAUUUUUUAGUUAACUAUUAAUGACCUUCUUACCAACUUUAGAUAUUAACUCUUACAGUAAUGAUCAUAAAGAGCUUUUCUAAUUGCUUGAUUUGGCUUAUGUCUGCUCAAUUUUAAAUUUGGAUGUUUGACUUUAGCUGAUGGGUUCUGUUCAACAGAUUUUGGAAACUUGGUCAUAUACAUGGUAUACACAUCAUCAUCAGUUUUUUUGUUCUUUGAUAGGAAGAUGUUAAUGUUCAACGGCGAAGAGGUAUGUUUAUGGAGUUACUUGCAGGACUAAUUCUACUUGAUGCAUGAGUGUUUCCCAUGAAAAGGUUGGUGUUGCAGUCAAUAGUACAUUUAUUUAGUUGUAACUCCAAGUGCGAGGAUGUUUAUCAGGGCAGAUAGUAGAAACAAUUUCUUCAAUUCCAAGUUGAGACAUAAAAGUGGUUUCUGAAGUGAACCACGGUGGUCUUAUAUCCCAAAAGGAAUGGAAAAGUGGGAAGUGAACACAACAGUAGCUGCACUUGCUUGAUUUUUAAACGGCGCAAAGGCAAAAGGUGCAUCUUUUGAUUCUAUUUCAAAUGCCACUACUUCAUGAAGAACAUGAUGGGUUUAUGGCUCAACUUCACUUUUUGAUAAAGUCUUUUAUAUUAUCUUAAAUGUAUCUUUACUUGUGUGAUAUGGCCAGAAUUAAUUCUAAACAGAAAUCUUAUGACAACACAAGGAAGGUGGUCUAGAUUCAGUGAAAUUCAUAUGGGGAAACUACAGAGUUGAGAUUCGUUUUUGUUUGUUGUCAUAUUGAAGUUGUCUUGAUUGUUGUGGAUUGCUUGCAUAUCAGUUUGGUAUUUCAUUUGCAUUACGAUUCUCACA
Papaver somniferum (opium poppy) is the source of this 2152-nucleotide long non-coding RNA. RefSeq lists it as uncharacterized. NCBI's taxonomy places the organism in Eukaryota, Viridiplantae, Streptophyta, Magnoliopsida, Ranunculales, Papaveraceae. The record is from RefSeq and is a predicted model, not a curated record. The transcript has 3 exons.